AAAUAAAUUAUAACAAGCCCAAAUUUUAAAAUUUCGCACGUAUCGUCGUACAAAAAUCAGUACAUUCAACUAUGUUGAAAUUUGAAUCUCAAGGUGUUUAUGCAAAUCUUGAGAUACGCGGUACCCAAAUAUGUAAUAUCUCUUCCUAGAACUCAGUGGAAGCCACUCGAACUAGGCCGAAAAUUUUCAGCUCCUAUACCAAGGUUGCUGGUGACAGAAAAUGGGAAAGGAAAAGAGCUAGCCUUGGGUUUUGCAAGGUGAGAAACCCAAAUCCAAUAUCGGAUUUGCAAAAAUGACGGCGGCAAGUGGCUGGUUUCACAGUGGCAGCGAGAAGGACAGUUUUCUCCUUUCUUGCUUGUCGGUUUUCUGGCGAUUCUGAAGGCUGCAAGGCGACAGUGGUGUGGAGGACUCCCUGAGGCUAUAGUCCAAUGUCGUGAGGCUGUGGAAAAUGGAGGGUUGAGGGAGGGAGAGGAUGACAUCAACGGGGAAGGAAGAAGAAUAAGGAGAUUUUGGAUUUUUGCCUAUAGGGACCAAAUGCAACAUUUGAAAUAUAAGGAAAAUGCCCGUGAGGCC
Molecule: long non-coding RNA, 573 nt
Filed under: Ricinus communis (castor bean)
Lineage: Eukaryota; Viridiplantae; Streptophyta; Magnoliopsida; Malpighiales; Euphorbiaceae
Description: long non-coding RNA (RCOM_LNC002657)
Source: RNAcentral